RNAcentral lists this unclassified non-coding RNA (295 nucleotides) under uncultured fungus. RNAcentral's name for it is "partial contains 5.8S ribosomal RNA, internal transcribed spacer 2, and large subunit ribosomal RNA". The stretch from base 1 to 52 matches the Rfam family "5.8S ribosomal RNA", at positions 103 to 154 of the family's 154-position model. The record is from RNAcentral. Lineage: Eukaryota; Fungi.
AACGCACCUUGCGCUCCUUGGUAUUCCGAGGAGCAUGCCUGUUUGAGUGUCAUGAAUAUCUCAACUUCAAAUGUUUGCGCAUUUGAAGCUUGGACUGUGGAGGUUGCCGGCGUUCAUCCGUCGGCUCUUCUGGAAUGCAUUAGCUGGAACCGUCACGAAAUUGGCGCCUCGGUGUGAUAAUCUAUCUACGCCGUGAAAGUCAGAGUAGUGUUGUCGGGGCCGCUUCCAACUGUCUUUGGACAAAUUCAUUUUAAGAUCUGGCCUCAAAUCAGGCAGGACUACCCGCUGAACUUAA